This 497-nucleotide ribosomal RNA is filed under the name uncultured bacterium. Its description in RNAcentral is "partial 16S ribosomal RNA". It matches the Rfam family "Bacterial small subunit ribosomal RNA", at positions 28 to 507 of the family's 1533-position model. The record is from RNAcentral.
GAUGAACGCUGGCGGCGUGCCUAAUACAUGCAAGUCGAGCGAACGGACGAGAAGCUUGCUUCUCUGAUGUUAGCGGCGGACGGGUGAGUAACACGUGGAUAACCUACCUAUAAGACUGGGAUAACUUCGGGAAACCGUAGCUAAUACCGGAUAAUAUUUUGAACCGCAUGGUUCAAAAGUGAAAGACGGUCUUGCUGUCACUUACAGAUGGAUCCGCACUGCAUUAGCUAGUUGGUAAGGUAACGGCUUACCAAGGCAACGAUGCAUAGCCGACCUGAGAGGGUGAUCGGCCACACUGGAACUGAGACACGGUCCAGACUCCUACGGGAGGCAGCAGUAGGGAAUCUUCCGCAAUGGGCGAAAGCCUGACGGAGCAACGCCGCGUGAGUGAUGAAGGUCUUCGGAUCGUAAAACUCUGUUAUUAGGGAAGAACAUAUGUGUAAGUAACUGUGCACAUCUUGACGGUACCUAAUCAGAAAGCCACGGCUAACUACGUG